GCUUUAGAAAGAUAACAGCCAUCUAUU
RNAcentral lists this transfer RNA (27 nucleotides) under Mobula birostris (giant manta). RNAcentral's name for it is "partial tRNA-Leu". The record is from RNAcentral. Lineage: Eukaryota; Metazoa; Chordata; Chondrichthyes; Myliobatiformes; Myliobatidae.